AACCUUACCUACCCUUGACAUGUACGGAAUUCCGCUGAGAGGUGGAAGUGCCCGAAAGGGAGCCGUAACACAGGUGCUGCAUGGCUGUCGUCAGCUCGUGUCGUGAGAUGUUGGGUUAAGUCCCGCAACGAGCGCAACCCUUGUCCCUAGUUGCUACGCAAGAGCACUCCAGGGAGACUGCCGGUGACAAACCGGAGGAAGGUGGGGAUGACGUCAAGUCCUCAUGGCCCUUAUGGGUAGGGCUUCACACGUCAUACAAUGGUCGGAACAGAGGGUUGCCAAGCCGCGAGGUGGAGCCAAUCCCAGAAAACCGUUCGUAGUCCGGAUCGCAGUCUGCAACUCGACUGCGUGAAGCUGGAAUCGCUAGUAAUCGCGGAUCAGCA
This 383-nucleotide ribosomal RNA is filed under the name Burkholderia sp. CAR32. RNAcentral's name for it is "bacterial SSU rRNA". It matches the Rfam family "Bacterial small subunit ribosomal RNA", at positions 967 to 1354 of the family's 1533-position model. The record is from RNAcentral. Lineage: Bacteria; Pseudomonadati; Pseudomonadota; Betaproteobacteria; Burkholderiales; Burkholderiaceae.